UUAUCGACUCAGAUUGAACGCUGGCGGGAUACUUUUACACAUGCAAGUCGAACGGCAGCACGGACAGUCUGGUGGCGAGUGGCGAACGGGUGAGUAAUGUAUCGGAACGUACCCUAAUGGCAGGGAUAACUGCGCGAAAGCGUAGCUAAUACACCAUACGUAUCGAAGGAGGAAAGCGAAGGGGACCUUCCGGGACACUCGCACUAUUAGAGAGCGGCCGAUAUCGGAUUAGCUGGUGGGGCCAGCUUGCGUCACCAGGCGACGAUCAUAGCUGGUUUGAAGGACAGACAAACUACACUGGGACCAGACGCACAGCCCAGAACUCUGGAAACGGCAGUGAAAUUUUACCGGACAAUGUAGGGGAAACCUGAUCCCGGCCAUCCCGCGUGUGCGAUGAAGGCCUUCAGGUUGUAAAGCACUUUGGCAGAAGAAACAACUGGAUAAUACCCCGUGCAACUGACCCGUACCUGCAGAAUAAGCACCGGCUAACUACGUGCCAGCAGCCGCGGUAAUACGUAGGGUGCAAGCGUUAAUCCGGAAUUACUGGGCGUAAAGCGUGCGCGAACGGUUGAAGAAAGAUGUGAAAUCCCAGAGCUUAACUUUGGAACUGCAUUUUUAACUACCGAGCUAGAGUGUGUCAGAGGAGGUGGAAUUCCGCGUGUGUGUAAACAAUGCAUAGAUAUGCGGAGGAACACCGAUGGCGAAGGCGGCCUCCUGGGAUAACACUGACGCUCAUGCACGAAGAAAGCGUGGGGAACAGGAUUAGAUACCCUGGUAGUCCACAGCCUAAACGAUGUCAGCAGCAUUCCGGGGCCUUUGAGCCUUGGUAGCGCAACUAACGCGUAAGUUGACCGCCUGGAGAUACAGUCAUGAUUAAAACUCAAAGAAUUGACGGGGACCCGCACAAGCGGUGGAUGAUGUGGAUUAAUUCGAUGCAACGCGAAAAACCUUACCUACCCUUGACAUGUCUGGAAUCCCGAAGAGAUUUGGGAGUGCUCGCAGAGAACCGGAACACAGGUGCUGCAUGGCUGUCGUCAGCUCGUGUCGUGAGAUGUUGGGUUCUGGUCCUGGCGACAACCCUUGUCAUUAGUUGCUACGAAGGGCACUCUAAUGAGACUGCCGGUGACAAACCGGAGGAAGGUGGGGUUGACGUCAAGUCCUCAUGGCCCUUAUGGGUAGGACUUCACACGUCAUACAAUGGUCGGGACAGAGGGUCGCCAACCCGCGAGGGGGAACAAUCCAGAAACCCGAUCGUAGUCCGGAUCGCAGUCUGCAACUCGACUGCGUGAAGUCGGAAUCGCUAGUAAUCGCGGAUCAGCAUGUCGCGGUGAAUACAGUUCCCAGGUCAGCCUUACACCAUGCCGUCACACCAUGGGAAUUGGUUUACGAAAUGGUCCAGCUAAUGCCAGCAAGAGCGAUUACAGGAUUCAUG
RNAcentral lists this ribosomal RNA (1432 nucleotides) under uncultured Bordetella sp. RNAcentral describes it as "partial 16S-23S ribosomal RNA intergenic spacer". It matches the Rfam family "Bacterial small subunit ribosomal RNA". The record is from RNAcentral. Lineage: Bacteria; Pseudomonadati; Pseudomonadota; Betaproteobacteria; Burkholderiales; Alcaligenaceae.